UAGCAGCCAGGGAGACUUCUUAUGCAGCCCGCUUGUUUCAAAGGAGCGUCGGCGACAGGGAGGGGAGGAUCUCAAGACCUUUAAUUAGCUGGGAAUUGCACCCUCUCUAGUGGCUUGCUUGUGAGAACUAGAGAGCUAAGGAACAGCUCCUCAAAGAGGAAGAUGGCACUUGCCAGAAGGCAGAGCUAAAGCACGCAGAUGUGCAGUGAGAAGACAGAUGCUACACCCAGAUCUAAUGUGUGGUCUCUGGAUCAGCAGCACAGCCAUGACCCUGGAGCUGAAGGGCAGGAUAGAGGGUCCUCCCCAGAACUACUGAGUCAGAAUCUGCAUCAUAGCAAGAUCCAUGGGGAUCUGGUUGCACAUGAGACUUUGAGAAACACUUGUCUAAAAACAAGUAAGAUAAAAGAGUCAAGCAUGGUGAAACCCUCUCUCCUCUCCAGGACUUGGAAAUGCCCAGAUAACGGCACCUUCCCUCAUGUUUAAUCUUUUCCACCCAACCUUACUAGGCUAGAAAUAGCCGCCAUUCGGUCCUGGGAGGAUCCUGGAUUCUGACGGGGCAUCGAGAGUGGAUGCAGCACUGUCACUGGGUUCCCCGCCUUGGUGUUACAGCUUCCACUGCCCACACGGGGAGUAAGAAGUGGGUUUCCAGAAUAAUCCCUCUCUGGCUUCCAUCGCUGCAGGAGACUUUACAGCCACCAGGGAUGACCCCAAGCCCACGCCCCAGGUGAAGGUCAAGCAACCGGAACAAUGCCACUCAGCUCAGAUCACUAGGACAGGAAGCCCAGGAAAAUUCCCUUCGGAGAUCAGCCUUCUACGAAACUAGAAGUUGCAUGCUACUGACUCCAGACCCAGGAGAGGCAGACACAGCACACACAGUAAAGGGGGAAAAGUUUCCUGGUGAGUCCUACAGAAUGACGGGGCUCAUUCACUCCUUAGAAAAGCACCUCUCUGCAUCCAUGGGGGCCUCAGGAUGACGGUGGAAAUGCCUGCUGCCAUCUCAGCUUUACUUGCGUGACUCUCCCCAGAUCCCCAGGCCUCGUCAGCAGAGACACAUCUAUCGAUAAUUACAGAAUACACAGCUUUGGGGGGCAUUUCCCUUCCAUUCACGACAUUUAGUGGUGUCAGUCUGAGCAUAAAUACAAUUAGAUUUGAGAGUUCUAUUACAAAAGCCAAUAAAGCGGGCCUCAGUAGAGAUUCUAAAAUUACUUAACUUUUCUUUAGAAAAAUAUUAAAACAGUAUUAUCACAUCAAUGAGAAGAAAAGACAGCAAGAUAAUAAAGUUAUGUUAAACCUCCCUGUAUUUACUCAUGUGUGAAACAGUUAUGUCUGGUCACAUAAUUGCAAUGGUUCUGAGAAAUAUUUCAUAUUUUAUAAUGAACAUUAAAAGAGUUUGUGGAUCAUUACUUUAUAUGAGUUCCAAAGUUAUUACAUAAAACCCAAUAGGAAUGGUUAUAAAUUAUCAGAUCCUCUGGCCUGGCCUUGGUAAACAUAACAUGAAGACUGAGACAUUUCAGCAGACAAGAUUCAUGAGAAGAGGUAAAAAUUCUUCCUGCAUUUUAAGGAGAAAAGAAGACCAGAGUACUUGUAACCAGCUCUUAGCAUUUUUGUUUCUGUUUCAAAGAAAUUCUAUUGAACCACUUGCUUAAGCCACACACACACAAAGCUUCUGUUAGAACAAAAGAGUAGUUCCUUUAGACACUGCCCUCAUCGCCUCAUUUUUCAUUAUCCUAUCUGUGGCCUUAAGGUCACUGCCAAAUUCUUGAAUUUUUCAACACAGUGUGGGUUUAAAAUGCUGUACUUAGCAGGCUCAUACGAUACCCAACAAUUCUUUAUUUUCAAAAGGAGAUCCUCUCUUUGAAAUCUGAAAAUAUGGCAUCUUUACAGAAAUUGGAGAGUUGAUAACAUUCUGAGGAAGUUUUCUUUUGGGGUCUGCAGAAUAGGUUUGCAGACAGAAUUUUAAUUACAAACUAUCAUUUGUGAACCACGGUUAAGCAUGAAAUGGAUGCUAUUCAAUUUCCUCGUGCUUAUUCUCUUUUUUAAAAAUAAAUCACAGCAUUAUAUUUUGUUCUGAAAAAUCACACCUGGAGCUUCCCUUCCUCCCUCCCCCUUGCUUUCUGCACGGUGAAAGAGUUAAGUAUGGGAAGAAUAGCAGCUGGGUAAACAAAGUUAAGGACCAGAGAAGUAACGUCAAAUCUUCUUGUCAGCAUCCAAGAGGCACAGUGCCCAACUGGGGCGCUUUCUGAUGAAACACACAGGCAACAUUUGCUACCUGGUUCUAGGAAAUACAGGCACCUCCCUCGCCUUUGUCCAAAGCAGCCCCGCUUCCGGUACCUGUGGAGUGAAGGUGGGCGCCCGCCCUCCAGGACCCCACCUAACCCCUCUGAGGCUCCCCUACCUGCCAACUCCCAACCUUAUCCCGGGUUCUCCCCUUUAUGUGGCGCAGCUGUUGGUGAGGCUUUCUCAGCAAACAGAUGUCUUUUGGAGAAUUUAAAGCUCUGAGUUGGAGGCCAGAUUCUGACUGUACUUUGAAUUAUGUCUGCCUCGAUCAUUAUGCAGUCAUUCACAUAUAUUUUAGACAUCAAUAUUGUCUUGAAAUAUUCUCGAGUUCUCAAUGCUAUUUAUAUGCUUCCAUUCUCUCCUUUGCUUCUGCUCUGACAGUAUGCUCCAACGUCCCAGCGUCACUGACGACUUGCAGAUCAUUUUAACACAUAUUUUCAUUGGUGAGGGCUUUGCCAUUUCAUUUAACAUGAUUUCUCGCUAAAUUGAGCAGAGAUUGACAUUCUUGGGACAACAACCAACCUUGGUCAUCUGUUUGGAUGGAGGAUUUACCCAGUUCAGUAUUUUUUAAGAUGAAACAGUGUCAUGUGUUGCCUCUUUCUACGGACAGCAAGUUUUUACCAAUGACAAAAGAAAGAUUCUAAGGAUGCCAAUUUACAAUGUGGGAGGAAAAAAAAUCUCUCCUUGCUUAUUUACAGAAAUGCUCAUCGGCUAACAUAUGAGAUUCUGAUAUAAUGUAAGCCCAUAGGUAAAAGAAAAAGCAAACUCAAACUGUGAAAACAAAGCAAAACAAAACAAAAACAGAUAUUUUCAGGACUUAAAGAGUAACAAGAAAAGGAGAGAAAUCUUUGGGGCUCUUUCAGCACAUUUAGUUCUAGGCCAAGUUUAGGAAAACCGUCAUGGCCCCUCAGAGCUUCAUAUGGUCACCAAGAGAGCCAAUCUGAUUCAAUGACUACUCUUACUUUCAAACGGGGUCAGGGCUCUCACCACCACCACUCAUCUAUUGAUCAUUUUGUCCUUGUUUGCAGAUCAUCCCUUUGAAGUAUUUUCGCAAUGGCCUCUAGGUGCCGCUAACACUGCAUAGCUUCAGCCUUUCUGCACAAUGAAAACAUUAAUUUGCUAUGAGAUAAUUUUUGACGUAAAUGUAAAAUGGUGCCCAUUCGAACUCAGUAAUGAAGCAUGGUGCAUUUCUGCAGCUCCUAAUUUGACUAGUUAAAUGACUCCAUUACGUGUCUAACAGACAGAAGCAAAUAAUUUCUGGUCAGUUGAUGUUCACUUACCCGUAUCAUUUUGCCCUGAAAAUAAAGUCUCUAAUCUACAAUUCCUUUGUCUUAGUUUUUUUUUUUAGUUAAGAUUAUCAAAGCAAAUAUACUUAAAUAUUUCAGAUUAAACCAGUAUAAACUAACAAUUAAAACGUCAGACAGGAUAGGCAAAUCAAAUAUGUGUAAUUGGAGAGGUGGAAAACCAGUCAGCCCCCUUCUAAAUUAAUUACUCCAACUUUGCCCCUGUCACUAGGUCCUAGGGGUUAGGAUGACUCUCGGGCUUCAAAAGAACAAGUGUGUAUCUUUCAAGUCUAUUGUUUUCCUGUGACCCCAAAGGGGCUACUGGCUGUUCCUGUGUCUUUUUCACUUUGCCACAUAACUUUGAGGAUGUUUGGAAAAUCAGUAGCAGGAUGCAUCUCACAAUAGCAAAAAAAAAAAAAAAAAAGGAAAAUGCUGCUUUAAUAAAUAUCAAGUGAUGAAUAAUUUUGCCCAAAGGGGAAAAAAUGGUUAAUAUUGAAUCUUAAUGUUCCUCAUCUAAAUGCUUUUUUCUUCCUGCUAAAAACAAGUUUAGAAUUAAAGCGUAUCAGUUUACACAUAUUGCAUGCAUAUUAGUGAGACACAGCUGUGUAUGUCCCCCUGUUAAGAGCCAUAUGAUUAAGUUAUGGGAUAUCAUAUAAUCCAAACGCUGUUUCUACUGGUCACCUUUCACAGACAAAAGCUUUUUAGUUUUAGGUCUAUUAAAUGACAGAAUGUCCGAUUCUGGAAAUGUGCAAGCAAUUAUUAUGAAGCACCUGUGACUCUCACUUUUUGCUCACCAAGUCCAUCUAUAAAUUGCUUCUGGAACAUUGCUCAGAGGCUGACAGAGGACUGUCCUCCCUGUCUGGGGCAGCUGUCGGGCAUACAGUGAGGUGGCUCAAGACCCAGGGUUGAUCCUGGUUAACUAUGGAAUCAGGACCCCAGCCGUCCUACCCCAUCGCCCUGAAGUGAAGAGACUAUAGACUCUUUCAGUGAAGAAACAGUGGUCGGAGAAACAGUGAAGAAGAACCCCCUAAAGUUCAGAGGGAACCCUGGGCCCACCCGUUUAUCAUCAGCACUUCCGGAUGAUAUUUCGAACUAGGUCUGCACCAGAAAAUCAGUUUUCAAAAACAUGUGAACUAAAAGAACCAGUUUAAAUGAUCUUUAUUUUUCCCCAAAGUAACAUGCUAUUUGACCCAAUUAAAA
This 4760-nucleotide long non-coding RNA is filed under the name Homo sapiens (human). Its description in RNAcentral is "HSALNT0397202". The record is from RNAcentral. Lineage: Eukaryota; Metazoa; Chordata; Mammalia; Primates; Hominidae.